This is a non-coding RNA of Saimiri boliviensis boliviensis (Bolivian squirrel monkey), 352 nucleotides long. The record is from RefSeq and is a predicted model, not a curated record. Lineage: Eukaryota; Metazoa; Chordata; Mammalia; Primates; Cebidae.
UCAAACUUGACUUGUAGAGCCAAUAAAAGCCCCUUGGGAAGACAGAACUCAUACCUUGUCUACACAAUCCCUGUGCAGUGUUCCGGGUCUGAUACCCCAGUGCCAACCCAACACCUUAAUAAAUGUCUGAUGAAUGAACAAAUGAUUGAAUGAAAACCCUUUGGAAAUUCAGAUAUUGCUAUUCAACUCUAAGAGUGAAGACUGAGACUUAGCAGGAUGUGGAUGACCAAAAUAACACCUGCCCUACCAAAGUCUCAGAGCAGCAGUGGGAAUCACGUGACACAGUCAUUCACUCAGCAAGUGUGUGUGGAGUGCCCAUGACAUGCCAGGCCCUCUUCCAGCAGCCAGAGAU